CGAGCCGGCCGGGCGGCCGCGUCGGGGUCUUCGGGCCCCGCCGAGGAACGUCCGGGCUCCACAGGGCAGGGUGGUGGGUAACGCCCACCCGGGGUGACCCGCGGGACAGUGCCACAGAAAACAGACCGCCGGGGGCCUCGGCCCCCGGUAAGGGUGAAACGGUGGUGUAAGAGACCACCAGUGCCCAGGGUGACCUGGGCAGCUCGGUAAACCCCACCCGGAGCAAGGUCAAGAGGAGCGCCGCGAGGUGCUCUGCGCGGACGUUCGAGGGCUGCCCGCCCGAGUCCGCGGGUAGACCGCACGAGGCUGUCGGCAACGGCAGCCCUAGAUGGAUGGCCGUCUCCCGACGGGCCGCGAGGCCCGCCGGUGACAGAACCCGGCGUACAGGCCGACUCGUCCG
RNAcentral lists this RNase P RNA (400 nucleotides) under Streptomyces sp. HB2AG. RNAcentral describes it as "RNase P RNA component class A". It matches the Rfam family "Bacterial RNase P class A". Rfam says of the family: Ribonuclease P (RNase P) is a ubiquitous endoribonuclease, found in archaea, bacteria and eukarya as well as chloroplasts and mitochondria. Its best characterised activity is the generation of mature 5'-ends of tRNAs by cleaving the 5'-leader elements of precursor-tRNAs. The record is from RNAcentral. RNAcentral also lists the same sequence under 2 other names. Lineage: Bacteria; Bacillati; Actinomycetota; Actinomycetes; Kitasatosporales; Streptomycetaceae.